Molecule: long non-coding RNA, 22904 nt
Filed under: Setaria italica (foxtail millet)
Lineage: Eukaryota; Viridiplantae; Streptophyta; Magnoliopsida; Poales; Poaceae
Description: long non-coding RNA (SITA_LNC006146)
Source: RNAcentral
GGAGAGCUCCUUUUCCAAGAUCGUCAAUCUAAGCAUGAUCCAGGCGCCAAGAACAAAAGUUGAUUACAUGAGGAUGUCUCUGUGCCAAGUCAAUGGUUUCCUCCGUGAAUACAUCGUCUCACAGUUAAUGGAAGAGAACCUUGUCUUUGCACUUGAGGGCCAUUGCAAAAAGAACAUACAGCGCACAGGACGGCACCUUGCCAUAGACAAUAGUUGGGACAGAGACAAAAAUGUGUUCGAGAGCAUCGACCUUUCAUUGCUACGGUCUUUGACUGUGUUUGGUAAGUGGGAAACAUUCAUCAUCUCUGACAGGAUGAGGCUGCUCCGGGUGUUGGAUCUAGAGGACGUAUCUUCAGGUGUUACAAAUGGUGACGUCGAGAAGAUGGUGAAGCUGCUGCCCCGCCUCAAGUUCCUCUCCUUAAGGGGAUGCAGAGAAAUCUCUCGUCUGCCUGAUUCCUUGGGAGACCUGAAGCAGCUCCAAACUCUGGAUAUCAGGGAAACAUCUGUAAUCAAGCUACCAAAGAGCAUCAUCAAGCUAGAGAAACUGCAGUACAUUCGUGCCGGUACCGCCAAGCAUCAUCAAGCUAGUGAAGCAGCAGAGAACCCAUCAGUGGCAGCAGCAGAGAACCCAUCAGCAGCAGCGCCAAUAAGCAGACCAUGUGCUACUCUGGGGUCAAAGCUGACCAUACACCGCCGUCAUGGCUCUCAUAGCGGCAUCAAGGUUCCUAGAGGGAUUGGGAAGCUUUCCAGCUUACACACGCUGGGUGUUGUUAACAUUCACGCUUCAGGCGAGGAUGGCAUUCUGGAGGAGCUCAAGAACCUUACCCAACUGCACAAGCUUGGAGUGUCCGGCAUUAACCGGAAGAACAGCGAGAAAUUUUUCUCAGACAUCUCACGUCUCGUCCAUCUGGAAUCCUUGUCACUCAAAAUGCAGGCAAACCAAGACAAUGAAGCUGCUGGUUUAAUGGCCGACAUCUCGUCGCCUCUGGAGAAGCUACGGAGCCUUAAAUUGUACGGGCUAGUUGACAGGUUGCCAUCAUGGAUCAUGCAGAUGUGCUUGCAGCUGCCUAGACUUGAGAAAGUGGAUUUACAGAUGAAAACGUUGCCUCAGCAGGAACUAGAUUUUAUUCUAACUCUACCAUAUCUAUGUAGUCUACGUCUUCGGUUGGCAGAGUUUCAAGGUGGAGAGCUCCGUUUCGGUUGGAGUAUUGCUCAGAGUUCUGGUGAGUGGAUUAUCGACUUCCUUGAGAUAGCAUGCAACUCCAGAUUACAGGCUGUAAAGUUUGGCUCAAAAGUAUACAUUGAGAUCCUGAAGAUUCGCUGCUCUAGUGUGUCUUCAUCACUACAGUUUUAUGGUCUACGGUCUAUGUCAAGUCUGAAGGAAGUCUUGCUUAGCGGAUCCUAUGACCACGCCUUCGAGCAACACUUGGAGAGGGAGCUUAAGGAGAACAAAAACGGACCUAUUCUGAAGCCAGAGCAACCGUCAUCAUCGACCUGAUGGGUGCUGAGCGGCUCCUGAUGGUGUAUAUACUAUUGCAAUCUUUCAUGAUCUGCAACUAGUGGGAAUUACUACACUACUCACUAGUAUGUUCAAGUGUGACAUUGCAUUGAACACUGAAAUGUGUUCUAGUAUACAUAUGUUCCAUGCGUGCUUUGCGUUCGUCGUCUCAGGCUCCAAGAAUGAAUUUUUCUCAGGGAGAUAUGAAUUCAUGACGUCUAUACAUGACUCGUGCCAUGGUUUGAAACACUGAGAACAAGUGGAUUAUACUUGUAAAUUCAAUAUAUUCAUUCUGUCGAGUAUAUUGAUUUUUUAGGUUGCUGUAUUGAGUAUUGUAUAAUGCAUGAGAACUCCUGCGUUCUUGUUCUUGAGCAAGCAAAAAGAAAAAAGAGAAGACGCAAAAAAAAAAUUACAGCAAGCUGGACCAACAAUAAUGCAAUCAGCAGACAGCACGAUUCAUAAGAAAUCCCUGCAACAUCACCGAAGGAAGGCAUCGGCACAGCUAUCAUCAAGUGGGACUUUGUUCUGAUGUUAUGCACAUUGAGAUGUAGCUUAAUUGGUUUCUGUAUGUGUUCUGAAACCUUGAGACUUUGUUUUGAUCAGUGGAUACUUUCCAGUUUGUUAGUCAUUAAUGAGUUCUAGCGACCGACGUCUGAUUGUAAUUGGGGGUGUGUGCAGUGGUUAUCCAAUGAAUCGCAUGAAUGCGUAUCUUCAGGAGAAGUGGAUUGUGUUGUGUGCCUAUAUAUGUUGUGUCCAAUUCAUUACUCUUUGCUGACAAGGACAGGAUCAUGUGUCCUCUUCUGCUGACGCACACACAUGCCUCUCCCGGUGUUAUAGGACCCCCACACUAUCAUGACAUUUCGCAAAUUUGCAGAUUCUUUUAAUGGUUCCCUUGUAUUUCAUUCGAAACUCACCAGCUCAUCACUACCAUUGCCAAGAGGUAUAUUUGGCCCUGCAGCAUCUCUGGAGCAUUGGUUGGUACACCAAGAUGGAGCCUGUACAGCAAGUCAAAUGAACGCUAGUUUGGAGAUGCAUUACCACAGUGGCAAAGUAUUGUGUCGCGGAUACUAGUCAGAUUCCCGCAAUUUUCUAGCGUGUCAGCGUCAGCAUAGCAAGAUCAUAUAAACUUUUCACCAGUACCUAAUCUUACAGAUGUGUUUUAUCUAUAAUGAAUCAGCGCACCUUAUUUUCAUAUGCUCAAUGUCAACAUCACAGACCGCUUCAGUCACUGAACAAGAUUAAUAAUGGCAGUGGCGGUUUUUAAUGUGUUGAUAAGAGACACGGUUCGUCGUUGGUGUACAAAGAUGCCUCUCAAGCACCAGAAAAGGCAACAGGACAUCAGAGCUGGGUGGUCACCAGUCCAAGCUCCCAAAAUAUCACCGAAGCUGGGUGGACGGUCACCAGAUUGGUUCUUUACUCCCUCCUAAAAUUUCUAUCACAUCAAAUAUUUAGAUACUCAUUAGGAAUAUUAAACAUAGACUAAUUACAAAACCAAUUGCAUAGAUGGAGGCUAAUUUGCGAGACGAAUCUAUUAAACCUAAUUAGUCCAUGAUUUGACAAUGUAGUGCUACAGUAAACAUGUGUUAAUUAUGGAUUAAUUACACUUAAUAGAUUCGUCUCGCGAAUUAGCCUUCAUUUGUGUAAUUAGUUUUAUAAUUAGCUCAUGUUUAGUCCUCCUAAUUAGCCUCCGAACAUUCGAUGUGGCAUGAAUUUUAGUCUGGACUAAAGAUCCAAACACCUUAGUAGGGUAACCGACUCCAAAGACAAAACAAAUGAACGAUAACUGCAAGAGAGAAAAAAACAUAAGGCUUGUCACACCCUGAUAAUUGUUUGUUUUUCUAAAUCAAGUAAUGUUGUUCUGCGUCUGUGCAUUCAUGCAGAUGCAUCUUGGUUUUUCUUAAGUGCAAAAGGUUUUAAUAUGCGUUCGGACGACGACGACAAGGUUCUUCUAAGAAUUUUCCAAUUUUUUAUGGAAUUUAUUCUCAUUUUUCUAGGGCUUAAUCCAUUUUUUGGAUGGUUCUACAAAUCCUUCCAGGAUCUCUAAGUCUUUUGUUUGGUUCCUUGUGUCCUGAAUCAUCUCCAGCAAUUUUCCUGAAUUUUUCGGAGUAUUCGGAGUAUUUUUCGUGAUUUAGUUAUGAUUUCAGGAUUUUCUGGAAUUGUUUUUGAAUCUGAAAUUAAUUCCCGAAAUUAGAAAAAGGAGGAAAAUAAAUCCGGACUCCAACCUGACCUAUAAAUACUUUCCAGUGAUCACGUUGACGUCCUUGUUUCAACGCCGCAAACCCACCUCGUUUCGACAACCCUAGCUUCCGCAAUUGGACGUCGAACAUAUUCAUCUUUAAACUACUGCGAGUUUUCCGACGAGCAAAUCCGGCACAACCGUCAGUCCUUGACCAAAGGUGAGCGCACCAACGUAUUCGUCUCGUCGUUCUUGUUCCGUUUUGCCGUUCAUGCACGAGAUCGGACUUCGUUUCCGGCAAGUCCCUCUUCUCAUUCUCUCCUUGUUUCUGUUCAACCAUGGCCGGCCUCCUGAGCUCCCAUGCACCCACGCCGCCUAGGCCCCGCCCGCCUGGAUUGAUAUAGGAAAGAUGUUUGUUUCGUUUUUUGAAUGAAUUUGAUACACCAAAUAAUCGGUUUACUUAGUUUAUCUAUAAUGAAUCAGCGCACCUUAUUUUCAUAUGCUCAAUGUCAACAUCACGACCGCUUCGGUCACUGAACAAGAUUAAUAAUGGCAGUGGCGGUUUUUAAUGUGUUGAUAAGAGACACGGUUCGUCGUUCGUGUACAAAGAUGCCUCUCAAGCACCAGAAAAGGCAACAGGACAUCAGAGCUGGGUGGUCACCAGUCCAAGCUCCCAAAAUAUCACCGAAGCUGGGUGGACGGUCACCAGUCGGCCCCGUUUGGUUCUUUUUCCUAUCACAUCAAAUGUGUAGAUACUAAUUAGGAGUAUUAAAUAUAGACUAAUUACAAAACCAAUUGCACAGAUGGAGGCUAAUUUGCGAGACGAAUCUAUUAAACCUAAUUAGUCCAUGAUUUGACAAUGUGAUGCUACAGUAAACAUGUGUUAAUGAUGGAUUAAUUACACUUAAUAGAUUCGUCUCGCGAAUUAGCCUCCAUUUGUGUAAUUAGUUUUAUAAUUAGCUCAUAUUUAGUCCUCCUAAUUAGCCUCCAAAUAUUCGAUGUGGCAUGAAUUUUAGUCCGUACUAAAGAUCCAAACACCUUAGUAGGGUAACCGACUCCAAAGACAAAACGAAUGAACGAUUAUGGCCAAAAGAGAGGAAGAGUACCGGCAGGAGAGAAAAAAACAUAAGGUUUGUCACACCCUGAUAAUUGUUUGUUUUUCUAAAUCAAAUAAUGUUGUUCUGCGUCUGUGCAUUCAUGCAGAUGCAUCUUGGUUUUUCUUGAGUGCAAAAGGUUUUAAAAUGCGUUCGAGGUUCUUUUGAGAAUUUUCCAAUUUUUUAUGGAAUUUAUUCUCGUUUUCCUAGAGCUUAAUGCAUUUUUUGUAUGGUUCUACAAAUCCUUCCAGGAUCUUCAAGUCUUUUAUUUGGUUCCUUGUGUCCCGAAUCAUCUCCAGCAAUUUUCCUGAAUUUUUCGAAGUUUUCGGAGUAUUUUUCGUGAUGUAAUUAUGAUAUUAGGAUUUUCUGGAAUUGUUUUCGAAUCCGAAAUUAAUUCCCGAAAUUAGAAAAAGAAGGAAGAUAAAUCCAGACUCUAACCUGACCUAUAAAUACUUUCCAGUGAUCACCUUGACGUCCUUAUUUCAACGCCGCAAACCCACCUCAUUUCGACAACCCUAGCUUCCGCAGUUGGACGCCGAACAUAUGCAUCUUUAAACUACAGCGAGUUUUCCGACGAGCAAAUCCGGCACAACCGUCAGUCCUCGACCAAAGGUGAGUGCACCAACGCGUUCGUCUCGUCGUUCUCGUUCCGUUUUGCCGUUCAUGCACGGGAUCGGGCUUCGUUUCCGGCAAGUCCCUCUUCUCAUUCUCUCCUUGUUUCUGUUCAACCAUGGCCGGCUUCCUGAGCUCCCAUGCACCCACGCCGCCUAGGGCCCCGCCCGCCUGGAUUGAUAUAGGAAAGAUGUUUGUUUCAUUUUUUUGAAUGAAUUUGAUACACCAAAUAAUCAGUUUACUUAGUUUAUAAAAUUCUGCAAAUUUUAAGGUAACCAGAUGCACUCCUGCCCCACCCGGACCCAUAAGGUUAAGGUCCCAUUUGGCAGGAUUUCAUUUGACCACAACAUGGAUAUACACAUUGAUCCAAAGUAUGCAAGUAUGCAUCGACACCAUGUGACACAGCAAGGUUUGACAAAAAAAUCAAUGAACAAAAUGCCAAUUAACAUCUUAUUUUGGAACUACUACUUGCUUUUGUUUUAUUUUACUUAAUUUUUCUAUCAAUUGGCAAAAGCCACCAAUAAAAGCAAGUCCAAGAAUAUGCAGUCCAUAUGUAAUUUCUAUGGGAAUAUUGCAUUCCAAGAAAUACUUGAUGCAACAUAAUGUUCCAAGAAAAUAAAUAAGUUGUGGCGUGUUGUGUUAAACAAACUAUUACAAGGUCAAAAAAUAAUUAAACCUUUACUUACUAACUUCUGUACUGGUAAAAGUUCCAGUCGACAGUUCAAAGUUGUAGACGAAAACUCAAAUUUUCUCAUGGACGUCAAGGGAAGAGUGUCUUCUUGUGAAAUUAAUCUGCAAGGAGUCCUCAAUAGUCUGCAAAGGUUGAAGGACCACAGUUCACAGGAUCAGAGCCAAAGCAUGGAGGCCCAAGCAUAAAUGUUGCGCAUUUCAUGGUGUGCAAGCAUCGAUAGUCACUCAAAGUAUUUCUCCUAGCAAUGCACGUUAGCUAAAGCACAGAUCCUCCUGCUUCGUGCUUUAGCAAAGAACCGAUAUGUGUGUUUUUGUGUGGUGGAAGCUCAAGGCUAGGAAUGUUUCAAAAGGUGUGCAAGAGAUGAAAGUACCAACAAAGCCCACUCAAGGUUUUUCUCCUAGCAAUGCACGUUAGCUAAAUCACAGAUUCAAUUCUCCUGCUUCCUCCUUUAGCAAAGAACUGAUGUGUUUUUUGUGGGUGUGUGUGGUGGAAGCGCAAGGCUGGGAACGUUUCAAGAGGCGUGCAAGAAAGGAAAAGGCCAACAAAGCCCAUCUAAAGAAGAUCAUAUAGAAGCUGAAGCAAAGAACAUAAUCCUUUUAAAGGUGUGCAAGUCACCGUCGCUCAACGUAUUUUCUCUCGGCAAGGCACAACUCCACGUCUUAUUUGUUCCAGCACAAUUGGAGUUGGUGCAGAACGAUGAUCAAACAAGAUGACAUUUUCUUUCCUUUUAUAAGAAAUAGGUGCUCUUAAAGCUUAAGAGGGGAGAGGUGAGAAUUAGGCAAACUUACUGCCACUACUAGAGGAACGUUUUCGCCGCCAGCCCUAAACCCCUCAUCACUACCAGUUUAGGCACUGGUGGUCAUUAGUUGGCAGUAAAAUGUCCAUUUUCACCGGUGGUUAGCGGUGAAGAAUAAAGUUUCACUACCGGUCUGAGACACAAACCAACAGUUAUGUGGCGCAUAUCACCGUCGAUCCGUGUCUUUGGCCGGCAGUGAUGUGGUGCAUAUCACCGCCGCUCUGAGACACAGACCUCCAGUGAUGUUGCUGGAAGAAGCACAUCAAAUAUAAUCCAUGCAUCAAACACAGACCGAAGCCCAUACAAACCAAAGUUCAAAUUUAGCAUAUACAUGCCACAAGCACAAUGCAUCAAAUGAUACAAGUUUCAAAUCAUGAUAAAUUAUUUCGGGAAAUAUUUACUCCUUCCUUAUUAUCUCUUAUUUAUUUCCACGUUUUAUAUAUUAGCAUAGUCUGCAAAUCUGCUGUACACACAUCUUUUUGUUGUUUUAUUCCUCGCUUGUGCUUAUAAUGGUAUAAUUGUAAGGUUUAGUGUUUGGAUGCCAAUUAUGCUAGUAUACUUUCGUGCUUAUAAGCAGGGUCCUACUUCCGUUUGAGUCUUUGUCUACGUCAAUUAAUUUUUUUAUAGGACCCCAGGUAUAUAUGGUGAAAUGUUUAAUAAUGUCCAAAUUAGCUGUUCCGCAGCUAGGGAUGCAAGUUAUAUAUAUUUUAGGUCAUUUGGUCGAUCUAAAAAGUUGGUAAAAUGAACUAGAAUGGUAUAUUCUAGGUAAAUAAUUUGGGAGGAUAAAUAAACUAGAGUGGCAUGCCAUCAUAAUUAAUCAGCUGACCUAGAAAACACUACUAGGGGUGUUUGGAUCCCCGAGCUAAACUUUAGCUCCUGUCACAUCGAAUAUUUGGACACUAAUUAGGAGUAUUAAACAUAGACUAAUUACAAAACCAAUUUCACAACCCCUAGGCUAAAUCACGAGACGAAUCCAUUAAGCCUAAUUAAUCCAUGAUUUGACAAUAUGAUGCUACAGUAAACAUUCGCUAAUGAUGGAUUAAUUAGGCUUAAUAGAUUCGUCUUGCGAUUUAGCCUAGGGAUUCUGCAAUUAGUUUUAUAAUUAGCUUAUGUUUAGUCCUCCUAAUUACCAUCCGAAUAUCCGAUGUGACACGGACUAAACUUUAGCUCGAGGAAGAGGAGAAGCUGGAGAAGAGCGUGCAGCGCGACCUGCUGGCCAUCUCGGACGAGUUCGAGAUGAUGUACUCCUUCCUUAAAGAUGUCAAGGACCGCGUCACGGACAAUGUGACGAGGACCUUGGUGAGGCAGGUACGCAACAUGGCCCUAGACGUGGAGGAUUGCAUCGAGAUCAUUGUCCACCUGGACCACAAACCGCACUGGUGGCGCCGCAUGAUGCUCCCGUGGUGCAUGCCUGCUGCGCCGCCAGGGAAGGAUCUGGACGCUGCCGUUGCCAAUAUAGAGCAGCUCAAGGCUAGGGUCGAGGCCAUGGGUCAGCGGAACUUGCGCUACAACCGCAUUGGUGACUCUGGCCAUAAGCCUGCGGAGCAGACGCAUCAGCAGGCUGUUGCCAAUGCAAUGCAACCAAACAUCCUUGGCUCCGCGACAAAUGUAGCAAAGCAGAGCGGUCAAGUGGAUCUUGUUAUGUUGAUCAGCGGGAAAAAUACAAAUGAAUCGAGGCAGAGGAAGGGAGGGGCUGAGGGGGACCAAGCGCACCAUCUGCUAGGUGAACUCUUUUUAUGUACAUGAAAUUUCAUUAUGUUGAGAAGUGUUAAUUUUGCCCCCUAAUACAUUCCUAUUUUCUGGCUCCAUCCCUGCAGGCGACAAAGAUGAUGAUGAUUGUUAUUAUGAUUGUGAUGAAGAGUUCAAGGUGGAGAAAGAAGCAGAUGAUGUCCAUCAACUCAAAGUACUCUCAGUGGUUGGAACAGGAAGCGAUCUGGAGACUAUGUCCAUGAAGAAGGCCUACGACGACAUAGAGACCCGCAAAAGUUUCAAUUGCCGAGCCUGGGUGAAACUGGUGCAUCCUUUACAUCCCAUUGAGUUCAUCCGGAGCUUGCUGGCUCAGUUCCAAAAUAACGCUUGUCCAGAACAAGACAAGACUGUAAAAGUCCUGGAUGUGAUGGUGGCGACAGACGGCGUACUCAUUGAGGAGUUCAAGAAGAAAAUAAGUCAGAAGUACCUAGUUGUCUUGGAGGACUUGUCUACCAUGGUUGACUGGGAGGCCCUUAGGGUCUAUCUACUUGACAAUAAAAAUGGCAGCUGCAUCGUUGUGCACACGCGACACCUUGGAAUUGCAUGCUCGUGCGUCGGGCAUGGAUACCGAAUAUCGGAGCUGGAAAAGUUAUCAGCCGAUCAUUCUGUUCGUGUCGUUUAUAAGGAGGUACGUAUUACGCUUGAAUUAUAAUAAAUUAUUUUGGGAAAAUAUUUACUCCCUCCUUAUUAUCUUUUAUUUAUUUCCACGUUUUAUAUAUUAACAUGGUCUGCAAAUCUGCAACACACACAUCUUUUGUUAUUGUAUUCCUGGCUUGUGCUUAUAAUAGUAUAACUGUAAGGAUUAUAGUUUGGAUGCCAAUUAUGCUAGUAUUAUUUUCAUCAUACACAAUUUGAUGUAUGAGGGAUUGAAAAAUUAAAAAUAGGCUAAACUACAGAAUGACAAGGAAAAACAAUGGAAGGAUUUCAUAAAAUAAAAACAAUUGAAGGAGUAGUACUAAACAAGUCGCAAAAGCAUUGUUUACUCCAUGUUGUGUGAACUUUGACAAUAAAGUUAGUAAACUACACUACGUGAGAAACCGACUUUGUUAACGCGGCAUUGGUAAAGGGCCUCAAUAAAUCUUGAAGGUAACGAACGGACUUCAUUGAAGUCCAUUACAAAUGAGGCCUCUAGAUCCUAGCCCAACCUCGGCAGCAAUGAUGCCCGUUACCAAUAACAAGAUAAUGGUAAUGGACCUCAACAAAAUCCGUUACAAAUGUUAUUGGUAACGGAUGUCACUAACGUCCGUUACGAAUGUGAGCCUCAUUUGUAAUGGGCAUGUACGGCCCGUUACAUGUCUGAUUAUCUGUAAUGACAUAGUUAUGGGAAACAGGCAUCACAUGAAGGCCGUUACGAAUGACAAGAUCAUUGGUAACGGGCUUCAUAUGACGGCCGUUACGAAUAACAUGAUCAUUGGUAAAGGGCUUCAUGUUAUGCCUGUUACCAAUGUUGACAGGUGGGCCCAGUGAAAGAUGCCUCAUGGUGUCAUUGGUAAUGCGACGUUCUUAAUGGACGUUAUUGUUGCCCGUUACAUCUCUGCUGUUAUCAGUAACGGGCAUUGUGCUGAUUACCGAUGAUUGAUCAUUUGUCACCCAAUAUGGGUAACCGACUCGAUUCCCGUUACCAAUGGCUAUCUACGUCCAUUGCUAAACUGACUUUCCAUCCUCCCCUUUUCCCGGUUUAAAGUAGACCUGAAAAAAAAGGGUGCACCACUCUUUACUCUCAGUUGGUAUUUGCAAUCGGGAUUAAAGGAGGCCUUUUAUCCAGGUCAAAAAUCAGCCACCCGUGGGGGACCCUUUAGUCCCAGGUGAAAAAAUCAGCCACCCGUGGAGAACUUUUAGUCCCGGGUGGUAAAACUAACCGGGACUAAAGAUCACCCUUUUAAUCACGGUUGGUAUUACAACCCGGGACUAAAGCCCACGACACCAACCGGGCUAAAAUGGGGUCUUUUAUCUCGGUUGGAAACUCCAACUAGGAUAAAAGGGUCCCCACGGGUGGUUGAAAAAGAACUAAAGCCCUCAGACCCUUUUUUACCCUAGUUGGUAAUACCAACCAGGAUAAAAGGGGUUGCCACGUCAGGUGCAGCCCCCACCCCUUUUAUCCUGGUUACUAAUACCAACAGGAUAAAAGGGAGUCUUUAGUCCCGGUUGAGGAACCCAGGACAAAAGACCCCCUUUGUCUCGAUUGCUUUAUCCUGGAUAGUUUUUUUAGGAGAUUUGCACACUACCGACCAGGACUAAUACUCAGUUUUCUACCAGUGUAAAAAUCGUAGAACAAAUCAUGGUAAAGUGCAGCCAGUUGGACAACAUUGAGUCAUUCUAGCGCAACCAUUGUGAUCAUACUCCAAUCACAUUUCCAUGUGAAAACAGUGCCAUAGUAUACUACUAGAGAACUGACUUUCCAUCUAAGUGCUUUUAUCUCGGUGUCCCAGGUAAAAAAUGGAGUCACCUAAGCCCACCCAUGGGAGGGGAUUUAGUCCCACUUGUAAAGACCAAUCGGAACUAAAGCCCCCCUUUAGUCCCGGUUGUAACGGAUUAAAAAAUGGUACCCACGCCCCCCCUUUUAUCCCGGUUGGAAAUUCCAACUAGGACAAAAGCCCCCACCCUCUUUAUCCCGGUUGGAAAUUCCAACCGGGACUAAAUCUUUUGUCCCGGUUGGGGAGCCUUUAGUCCCGAUUGGCGGCUCCAACCCAAACAAAAUGCCCUACCCACACGCAACACUGCUCUCCCUUCCUUUCUUUAAUUUAUCUCGCGUGGCACUCUUCUUAUCCACCGGCACCUCCCUCCUUAUCUUCUUCCUCUCCUCAUCCUCUCCACCGCCCCCUCCCCUCCUCACUCUCCUCAUCCUCUCCUCCCUCUCUGCGCAGGAGGGCAGGUGGCCGGCGGGCGUGGCGUGGGUGGGUGGCGGCCAGCACGUGCGAGCGAGGGUGGAGGUGGGCGGGCAUGGGCGGAGGCGAGCGGGCAUGGAGGUGAGGGUGGAGGCGCGGGCAAAGCGCGGAGGCGGGUGGCCGGAGGCGAGGGCGGGCGCGGGUGGAGGCAUGCGACGGCGGCGAGCGGGCGCGGGCGGCCAACGUGGUGACCUUUUUUAUUUUUUUUGGAAACUUUUUAGUCCAGGUUGGUGCUUUUAGUCCCGAGUGAAUGACCCAGGACUAAAGGACCCCCUUUUGUCUCGAAUAAUUAGUCCCAGAUAGAUUUUCAGGAUCUUUGACCCCUACCAAACAGGACUAAUGUCGUCUUUUCUAGUAGUGGUACUUACGUAAAAAGGCCUGUCCAAUGUACCAGCAAACUUAUUUUCUAAAUGAACCAGGCAGGAGAGUUGCCCAGUAUAUUAAAAAGCAGAAGUAAACCUAGACCGGGCAAUACAACAAAAGAAAAAAAAAACUACCACUACAACAAGUGUCAUAACAACACGCGACAACUGACAGUGGGUGGUUGGACUCGGACCUCAACCACGUCACACAACACCCCAACAACACUCCACAGGUGAGAUACAACUAACCAUUGAUCACCUCGCCGCAUCACAAUACCCGGAAGGUUAUGCUAAAAGUAGCCUUCAUCACAAGGGUUGUCGUCCUCGAUGAUGUCCCACACCAAACCAAACAUUGCCUUGCACUGCUGGCUGCUGUAGUCCCCUCCAACCUGUAUAGCUACCAUGACUCCUCCACCAUGGCUCCAUGCCGCCAUCGUCCUCAGGUCACGCACACACAAUCAUCGAUCUCUCAAUCCAUGACCUUGCGUCAGUAGAAGUCAAAGGAGUAGAGCACCGCACCACAUCAAAAAGGCCGCUACCAUGCAGGACCCAUUGCCAAAGUAUCGCUGCAACACUUUUCACACCAAACGACCAAAGCACCGCACAAGAUCCUGAUCGUCCAAAGCAAAUCCAAUAUGUGGGGGCCUCGCCACAUCCAACGCAGCACACUACUCCUCGGACACAUCACCUUAAAGAGAACGGGGUCCUCGCCACUUCCGCCGCUGGACUCCAUGCCAUAGUUACAGACUUACUUCGCUAGUAGGGGUGACAUGGUGCCACCGAGCCGCUCCAUUAACUUCACCUUUGCCUUGCCACCAUUGGAAUCUCAGUUGCACCACGUGUACAGAUGCAAAGCCUCCAGAGACAAUGGCACCUCAUCUUGGUGAACCCCACCACACAUAGCUGGACGACGACAGCAAUGUCACCCCACCACUGAUGUAAAUGCUCACUGCUGCACGUUGUUGCCGCAGCUCACACCAUGCUGCAACGGGGCACCACGCUGCUGCGGUCGGGCCAGCACGCAGCCACCCCCUUCUAGGCAAUGUGGUUGCAGACAGACCGCAUCCACGCUCCCCUUCUCCACUGGAUCACCGUUGCUUCACCAUCUCGAUCACUGUCGUCGCAUGGCUAACUCCACUCCCCGCAUGCCGCCACCGCCGCAUGGCCUCCUUCUCACCCUGUAGCCACCGCCUCGCCGGCCUCCGCACGGCCAGCUCUGUGCCCUGCUGAAACCGCCACACCUCCACUCCACCCAUGCUGCACGUGGCGCCGCGCUCGCCUGCCUGCAUGGCCCCGGGCCUUCGCACGCCAACUGCUGACUCCCCGCGGAGAUCUGGCACUGGGAACGCCGGAUCCAACAUCUAGGGCACAGGAUCUGAUGCCACCACAAUCACCAUGCCCGAUGGUGCCAUCGUCCGAGCGGCCUCGCAUCUCCGCCAUCGUGCCACAAAAGUGGCGCAUCGUCCACCCACGAGCCUAGCACCGACCUAGUCUACAGGUGACAGAUCCGCUCGUAGGUGACGGAUCCGCUCGCAGGGACAUCAGCAGUGCCGAAAACCUGAUGCCGGCUCGAUUUGCUGGCUCCGUGGACAGAAAUCCCAACCGCUGCCUUUCUUCCACCUGCCGGACUUCUGACCUUGGCAUGGAGGGACGAGGAGGGGGAGGUGGUUCAGCGGCACCGGUAGCGGUUGCUGCCCGAGCCGCCCCAGGAGCGACGCGGGGGCUUUUUUUUCCCAAUGUACCAGCAAAAUUGGUCCUAAGCCCUUCGGGAUCUACCAAAAAUUGGUCCUAUAAGUUGGUGUGGCCAAAAAUGUUUGAGCAAGAUCCCAUGUUCGGGAUCUGAUCCUAUUGCCUAAAAUAACACAGAAAGCACAACUUGGGAGCAAGGGAAUAAAAUAAGGAAAUUUAUUUGUAAUUCUUUUGUGUAGGCAAGCAUACGCUAUCUUAUUUUAUUCUCCUACACUUCGAGCUGAUUAUAGACAAAUAAAUUUCUUUUGUUUCACAAACAUAUGUGGAUUCCCUUGUUAUAUGUCUUCUAGCUAAUUAAGUAGUUAUAAGUAUAUGUGGUUAUAUACAGUCAUGUAUAGCUGUUUCUUGACGCCUCUCAUCUGGGUACAACUGUAGCAUCUGUUCAUACAUGCACGCAUGCUUUACCCUACACACGCACACACACUCACACUACACACGUAAAAGAAGACCUACAAACUACGCACAGAUACGAAGACCACGUCCUUCUGGAGAUCACCGGAACCAAUUAUGAUUUCUGUAGGCGAUGGGCGUGUCGCACUCCCUUUGUGGCUAGAUCCACGCGAGAGAGGCUGCAGACUUUUUAUUUAUGUAAGGGAGUAAAUCCCCCCGGGGAUCAAACUCGAGCGGGCAGCGUUCUCAGUCAUGUAUAGUUGUUGUCAGCAUUGUUAUCGGACUUGCCCCUCUAUCAAAUCCUGGCUCCGCCCCCGGCGUAGAUAAGGCCCGUUACAUGUAUUUUUAGUAAUAAUGCGUCAUGACAAAGUCCGUUGUACAAGGUAAUUAAUCUUUGGGCCAACCAAGGUAACUAGCCUCGUUGUACAAGAGUCGGGCCCCCGACCAAGAGUACUUACCGGUAAAGGUCGUCAUCAACGCCCGUUACUAAUACCACAUCACUUAUAGCGCGCUUUCAUAUAGUAUGUGCAAAAUACAGCCAGUUCCUUCAAUCCGAGCACAGUUUCUCUGUGAAAAUGGUAUUCUCCACAUGAUCAACCUGACUGGACCACACUGCUCUUUCUUUGCAGGAUGUAGCGAAAAAAGUGGAGGGUAGUACCGUCAACAAGGAACAAACUGCACGUGAAUGGUCAAAUAGUCAUCAAACAUGUUUUGGUCGUGAUACAGAUAUAUAAGCUGGUUGCAUUGGCUCACGGCCGGUCCAGAAGGCGGCGUGGUCUCAGUGUGGGGGAUGACUGGUGUUGGCAAGUCAUUUCUCAUCCAACACUUUUACCGCCGCAUGAAGGAAAGCAGGUCUACCGAUUCUUGUAAGUUUGGUUGGGUCAAUGUAUCCCGUCCAUUCGAUUUAAGGGUCUUGUCGAGGAACUUGCUUUCAGAAAUCAAUCCUGAUUCCCAAGACCACCAGGUGAUGUCAACGAUCAAAGAUCCGAUUCAAGGGUGCCGUGAAUAUCUGCAGAGAGAAGAAAACAGCCCCUACUUCAUUGUUAUCGAUGGUUUGCGAUCCAAAGAUGAAUGGGACUUGAUAAGGGCCUGUUUGGUUAUGGAUGCUUAUUUAUAAGUUGCUUAUUUGCUUAUUAUAGUUGCUUAUUUAUAAGUCUUAGGUGUUUGGUUUGGGUUGCUUAUUUGCAAUAAAUGAGACUGCUAUUGACACAUUUACCCCUGCCAUCCCAUUUUCCACUACCCCUAGUCAAUACCCGGGUCCUGGACCUCCUGGUCCUUGCGCGAGGGGGGCGCGAGCGGGGGCGCGAAGUUGCGGGGGUGGAGGCCGGGAGCCGUUGGACCGCGAGGCGGGCAGCGGGCCGGGAACCGGCGGGGGGCGGAGGCGGCCAGUGCGGAGGCAGGGUGGCGAGCGGCCGGUGCGGAGACGGGGGACGCAGGCGGCGGCGCGGAGGCGGGCCGAGAGCGGCUGGGGGCGGAGGCGGCGGCGCGGAGGCGGGUCGGGAGCGGCGGGGUGCGGAGGCGAGCGGCCGGCGCGGAGGCGGGCGGGCGGCGGGCGCAGCGGCAGCAGCCGGCACGGAGGCGGGCGGGGAGCUGGCGGCGCGGAGGCGGCCGGCGGCGGGCGGCGGGCGCAGCGGGCGGCGCGGAGGCGGCCGGCGGCGGGCGCAAUGGAGGCGGCCGGCGCGGAGGCGGCCGGCGCAGCGGCGGCGGCGGGCGGAACCGGCGAUGGGCCUCGGUGGUGACGGGAUAGAGGAGAGAGACACGGGAUAGAGGAGAGAGAAAGGGGAGAGAGGAGAGAGAAUGAGAGUAGGGGGUGUAAAAGUGUCCCAUAAGCAACCAUAAGCAACUCAAAACUUGCUUAUUUGCUUAUGCAUAAGCAACUUAUAAGCAACUCUAUAAGCAAGAGUGUUUGGGUUAUAAGCAACUUAUUUGCUUAUUUUUAAGUUGCUUAUGGAUAAGCAAAGGAAACCAAACAGGUCCUAAGUAGAAACUUGGAUUUCAGAUUUGAAACCAGUUCCGGUGAAGAAAACAAAAACGUUGUCAUAAUAAUUACCAAUGAAGAAAGUGUUGCCAAUUACUGUGCAACAGACCACAAGAAGAUGUGGAAGGUCAAAGGUAAGAAGGUGUGGAACGUCAAAGGUCUAGAAGUUAGUGAAGCCAUUAAACUCUUCGAUCAGGUACUCACUCUCCCAAAAUAAGUGCAUCUCUAGCAUUCAAAAUUUGUCCCACAAGGAAUGCAUUUCUAUCUUUUUGGACCAGCUAGGGAUAAUUUGCAUGUGCAUUUAUAUUUUUACCUUUUCAAGGUGCAUGUCCGUUUAAUUUCCUUAUUCAUUCCUUUCCAAUGUGCAUGUGCAUUUAAGUGCUUCGUUUUUCUCCUUUCCAAGGAAUGGUUCAUUAAGGUGCAUGUGAAAAUUAACAGCAUUAAUUAGGCGCAUAUUGGUCACUUCUCAUGACUACUAAUGUGUCUUAAUAAUCCUAGAAGUACACUUAAUUUGGGAUAAAGGGACUAUAUGAUCAGGAAGUAUUACACUGUUCUACAAGUAGGGAUGGAUAUGGAUGUCUGGAAAUCCGAAUUAUCCAUAUUCGACAAAAAUGUAAAUGUGGAUAUCCAUAUUCGUAUUCGAUUUUAAUAUGGAUAUUAAAUGGAUGUAUCAGGAUUUGAUUUUAGUAAUUUUCUCUAUCCGAUUCCACUUUCGUAUAUGAGAAAAAUAUGAAAUACCCCACAUUAUCCGUAUCCACAAAGAAUAAUGUGACUUAUCUUUUUGACUAAUUACUAAUGAUAAAUGAGGUACACCUUUAAUCAAUUUAAAAAGUAUCUAUAUGAAAAAUGACUAAUUAUGUUAAUUAUAAUAUUAAUAAUGAUAAAUAAAAAUAAAUUUUAAUUAACUUUAACAUGGAUAAUCAUAUAGAUUUAAAUAUUUAAUUUAUUUAUCCAAUCAAGAAAUUGUAUGAUACUUAUUGUUAUAUUAAUUUCCUUAUUAAAUAUUUUAUAAUAUUUAUGAAAAAAUCAUUUACAUUUAUAUUUAUAUAUUUAAAUAUCUAUAACAAAUAUGUUUUUCAGAUAACCUAUCUAUACAUGUGUUAUACACCCAUAAAGUAAGCUAAUACGCACUAUGACAUUUUCUGUCAAAUCAACUAAGUAUCUGAAUGUGAAUCUGAAUUUGAGCUAUCCAUUUUGUAUUCGUAUUCGAUAAGAUUCAUAUAUUUGUAUCCGAAUUCGAAUUAAAAUGUGGUAAAUAGUGCUAUCCAAAUUCUAUUCCAUGCAUAUUCGAUCCGAAUCCAUCCCUAUCUACAACUAAAUUCCAUCACAUAGAACGAAUGCAAUGCCUAAAAAAAUGUGCACAUCUUAUGUGCAAAUUUCUCUUGUUUAAUUUAGCUUCAUGCACCAUUACAUACAAUAGCAAUACUAGUAUAUCAACCCAUGCUCCUACACAGGCUAGUAAUUUUAAGAGAUAUAAAUGUUAGAAAUUUGUGGGUAAACGUAGGGUAAUACCUAAGUGCUUAUCUUUGCUCUUUUAUUUGUUCCUAAUAUAACACAAUACUGUUUUGUAAUCUUUAUCUAGUUAUAAUAAACUUUUAAUUACAAAUUACUUUAUAUGUAUCUUCAUUCCCAUUCAUAGUUUUCCCCUUUACAUCCUCCAUGUGUAUUUGAUUUUGUGCUGAAGUCAUCAUAAUUGUUAAUCAUUUCUUGCAAACAUGUGUACCUGUUCUACAUGGUGACACAACUUAAGCAUUUAUGCCUUGAGUUGUUUAUUUAUAUUAUUAACAAUGACAAAAAGGAUAAUUUAGAAGCAUAUACAGGAUUACUUUAAUAAUGAUAGAGGUGGGUAACUUAGAUGCAAAUCUCGAGGUUACUUUUUAGAUUAUUUUUCAUAAUCGCAUGUGUCUGGUUUAGAUAAAGAUUUAGGGGUUAUUUUGCAAAAUGUUAGAGAGGUGGGUAUUGAUGAAGAUUUAAACGAUUACAUUAGGUUAUUCGUGUAAUACAGAAGUCUAAUACACCAUAUUAGUUGAUAUUGUUGGCCCAUGUGACCCAAUUAUAGUUGUAGUUAGUGGGUUUAGUACCACCAUGGAAGUUUAGGGAUGAGGGCCAUCUUAUAAUCCUUUUCGCUCCAAAUACCGGGUUUACCUUUUACACACGAAGCGAUAACAAAAGUGUAAGAGAGGUGCUAUGCGUAUGCAGGCCCAUUCCAUGUAAGGAGCUAGGCCAUAAGGAGAUUUUUGAGUAGUGUGUUACAUAUAGUAUCAGAGCAUUAACCCUCACUGCAUGUGCGCGUGGCUAGGCCUGUGGCAUGGUCGUGUACUGAUGGGUGGUUCUGGAAGUCCGAUGCGUAUGUGGUGAGUUGCUGAGGGUGUCACCCUUAAGGUGGGGUGAAUAUAAAACCCCUGCCCAAUAUAUCAUAGUAUGUUGUUGGCCCAUGUGGGCAAAUUGUAGUUGUAGUUGGUGGAUUUAGUAACAACUUGGAAGUUUAGGGAGAUGAGGGCUUGCUUAUAAUCCAGUCACUCCGAAUAUAGCAUCUCUGGGUUAAUCUUUUUUACACAAAGCGAGGAAAAAAGUGCAAAAGGUGUGCUCUGCGUAUGCGGGCCCAUUCCACGUGAGGAAUUAGGCCAAAAGUAGAUUUUGGAGGGGUUUACAAUUCGUCAUAAUGGAAGAUGUGGAUAAUUUUGAUAUAAAUAUAUGGAUUUACUUUAGGUAUUUUCUAUAAUGGCAAAUGUGUGUAAUUUAUUAGAAACGAAAAUAGUUCCAAUAGCUAUUAUUGUCAAUGAUCAUGAAUUGAUGGCUAGAUAAUUCUUAUUGUUCCACGAGAAUUUCUAGAAUUUAUCUAUUUUUUCUAAAGUAUCUUGUGAGGAUUACGUCAGGCUCAAAAAGAGAAUAUAUUACACCUGUUUUGAUCUUGAUCCCUAAGUGCAGAUACUACCAAGUAGUUUCUAUAUGUGUCCAUGUCAUAUGCACAUCACUCUAGACACUAUUAUUUUCGGUGCAUCAUGCAUAUCCAUAGUUCAAGUAAUUAAUAUUCACGCAAUCUCUUCUCCACUUAUUAUGAACACACCUACCCCUGGCAUAAUGCAAAACUUGAUAGUGUCUAGUGCAUAGGUUUGCUCGUUGAAUAGGGUCUUGAUGUGAAACGGCUUCGUCCUCUCUCUAUUCUCUCAUUUAAUAGAGCGCCACAUAAGCCAAAAGAUCCUAGGUGAUACUGUAAUUAAUGACAUGGACACCAUCCUAGCUGGAGCACUAGGACUAUCCGUUUGUAGCCGUCUAUAGCAUCUCUCCUGCGCCUGCUUGACACUACUUCACUAAGACUACUCCCAAUAGAUAAUUUCAUUCUCAUUAAUUAGUAUGCAACAUAAGAAUAAUAGGAUUUCCUAAUGACAUGGAAUCAAAUUUAAGAAUAGAGAGAUGAAACUAGUUUUAUCUAGAUGAAACCACAUGUACAUAGAUACCAACUCUUCAUGAGUCAUGAAAUUAAAUCCUAUGAAAACAACACCAUGAAAUUAUGCAUUGGGAGUGGUAGUUUGAAACACUAUUUCAUUCCUUUGUUGCUUAUAUGUGGCAUUCCUUUGUUGCUUAUAUGUGGCUAUCUUGGAAACGAUGAUAUGAAAUUCGUAAUUGGGAUUAGCCUAAUCAUACGUGUCCAUCAAAAUUUCAAGGCAGCAUUUAGCCACCUCUUUGUUGUGCUGCCAUUAUAUUUGUGUUUAGUAGAUGAAGUAAGCAUUCCUGACGUUUUAGCCACCACUUCAUUUGGACUGUUUUACCCCUUAUUAAGAUUGCCCAUUAAUUGCGCGGUCGGCUCAUCAAACUCCCUAUGCGCGCCAUUAAACUGCGCAUGCCGCCUCUGCACAACGCCCAACCCUGCGCAUGCAUUCAUUUUGACCGAUGCUUGAAAGGAAUUGGUGCUCAUAACCUAAGAAGGGGAGGAGGUGAAUCAGACAAUCUAAAAACUUAACCUAUGUCUUCCACUACUUUUCAUGAAAUAAAACUAGAUCAUUUCUAUCUAGAUGUGCAUUCUAAGGUUGAUCUAGUAUGAAACCAUCAUCCCAAAACAAUUUUUGCACCUUAUAGCUAAUCCUAUCAAGAUACUACUCUAGGAAAGUAAAGGCACACAAGUUACAAGAAUGAAUUGCGGAAACAUAAAGAGGAGAUGAGAGGAAGCAAACCCUUGACAUGAUGAUUUAUCCUGUGGUAUCAGUAGGCACUAAGCCACCACUAGUUCAUGUUGUUGAAGCAUUCACACAAGAGUAUUGCUUCCCGGUCACCAAGUCUCUUUCAAGGCACAACUUGACUUACCACAAAGGCUAGACCACUAAGGCACAUGCCAAGUUUCUUAGUCACCUUGAUGCCAUCUCCACUAAGGAGCUUCUCCACGAAGGAAGGGGGUCUCCACGUCGCCCGCACACGGUCGUUGACGCCGCUCCACACCAAGCCGGAGGGUCGAAUUAAGACUUGCCGACGAGCCACCAAGGCUUCAAGGCACCAGCACACCUCUUGUACACUUGUGGUCACUCUAAAACCUGAUCACAAGGUAGGCACACCUUGCGCUCUUCCUAUCUCUAGGCCUAUCCUAGCACUAAUCACUCUCACAAAGCAUGUGCUAAGUCUUAGAUAAAUCACUUUUAGCACUUUGGUGGCAUGAAUGUUUUCUUGACGUGUCUAGCAAUCCAAUGGACUCCUACACACUCCAGCUACUCCAAAUGGGUGAGUGGUGGGGGUAUAAAUAGCCCUAAGGCCUUAAAGCGCCGUUGCUGCAAACUGCAGUGCGCGCGAAUGAAAAAAAAUUUGCGCGUGAAGGAAAAAUAAUGUGCCAAAGCCGGGCAUGCAAAAAAAGUGGCGUAGCAAGGAACCGCACCCUCACCCAAAGCUUCGGGACUGAUAGCUAUAACCACUCGUACUGCGAUGGAGUAUUGAUUAAGGGGUGACUAAUUCUAAUCGAAAUCUUUUCUAUACCUCUCAUAAUUUUGUGCUACUAUAUAUUAAAGAGUGAUGUAUUUUUUUGGAACAGAGAAAGUAAGAGUUUUUGUAAUACUCCAGUCUUUCAACUGCUGCUCCUACAAAAGGGCUAGUGAUUUUAAAAGUGGUACGAUGUCAGCAAUUUAAGAAAAAAUAUGGGCCCUGUUCCCAAUCAAAAGUGCUUAUCUUUACUCACUUUCUAUCGUUUAUCCGUAUUCUAACAAAAUACUCAUAUACUCCCUUCGUCCCAAAAAAAGUCAUUUUGGACUUCAAAAUUUGUUCCAAAAAUGUCAUUGUGUUACUCUAUUAAGUAUGUGCUAAAUAUAGAUAGCACUAACAAAAAAAGUCAUUCUGAGCUUGCGACAAUCAAUAUAUUAGCACUAAAUAUAGAUAAUAAAUAGGACAAUCCAAGUCAUUUUAUAUAUCAUUAUUAAUUUGUCCUAAAAUUCAUGGAAUGACUUAUUUUUUAGGAUGGAGGGAGUCCAUACAUUCUUAUGUUUAUCUGGUUGUGAUAGACUAAUUUAGUUUCCAAUUAAUAUGUAUGCUUUCUGAUCUUCAUCCAUAGUUUGUUUCCUUUUCACUGCGUUGCAUCUGGAUGGCAUAGGCUUAGUUGAAACCUUAGCUUGAGCUAUAUUUUUUACAUGAAAAUCGAUAUGCUCACCACUUCCUGCAUACAUGUAUAUGUGGUCUGUAGGGUGACACAUGUAUACCUUGAGUUAUCUUUUCCUAUAUUAAUAAUAUUAUAAGUGGGGUAACAAGAACCAUACAUAGGAGCACAUUGAGAUAUUUUUUAUAAUGACAAAGGAAAGUAGCUAUUAGAUGCAUAUGUAGGGGUUACAUUAUAUUUUAGAGAAAUACUUAUUUUAUUUUUAGUAACGGCGGUGGGGAACUUUAAUGCAAAUUUAGAGGGUAAUUUUAUAUUAUUUUCUGUAAUGACAAUAUUGGUGGGUAAUUUAGAUGAAGGUAUAGAGGAUUACUUUAUAUUACCUUUCAUAUGGAAAAUCUGGAUAAUUUAGAUAUCGAUUUAGGGUGUUACUUUAUGCUACUUUCAUAGUGGCUGAGGGUAAUUUUUCUAGAAAAAACAAAAUAGAUCCAGCGACCAAUGAUGAUUACAGUCUACUGAAUUGAUACUCACACGUGUCUAAUUUUGUGAAAAUUACUAGAAUUUUUUCUAUGCCUCUCACCAGAAUUCACGUGGAGGCUCUAAUUAGUAAUAGUAAUAAAAUAUUAUGCUUUGCUUUUUCUUGGUUUAACAAAUAAACUGGUCCUUAUAUUGUUUGAACAACAGCUGGUAGCAACUAAUAAGCGCUGGUGGUUCUGGGAGAAUAAGAACUUGGAAACAAAGCAUCGGAAUGAUGAAGCAAGACAUAUCUUAUUGCAGAAAUGUGGUGGACUUCCCAAGGUCAUAUGUGCUGUAGCUGAGACAUCGAAUAUGGUUCGCGACAUAAAAUUACAAGAUAACCUUGUGUCAAAGUUGGAGGCCACACGAAGUCUAGAAGACGUGCUUUCCUGGUUGCUUUCCUACUUUCAAUCUUGUCAGGAUUCCCUGAAGCCAUGUAUCUUCUACCUGUCAAUCUUCCCUGUGAACCACACCAUCCGGCGGAGACGUUUGAUCAGGCGUUGGAUAGCGGAGGGGUACUUUAGAGACAACAAAGAAAGCACUGCAGAGGAGAAUGGGGAGAGGUCGUUUUCCAAUCUCGUCGAUCUAAGCAUGAUCCAGAAGCCAAGAACAAGUGUUGAUGACACGAGGAUGCCUUUGUGCCAAGUCAAUGGUUUCCUCCGUGAAUACAUCGUCUCACGGUUAAUGGAAGAGAACCUUGUCUUUGAACUUGAGGGUCACUGCAGAAAGAACAUACAGCGCACAGGACGGCACCUUGCCAUAGACAAUAGCUGGGACAGAGACAGAAAUGUUUUUGAGAGCAUCGACCUUUCAUUGCUACGGUCUUUGACUGUGUUUGGUAA